This 261-nucleotide ribosomal RNA is filed under the name uncultured Leptotrichia sp. Its description in RNAcentral is "partial 16S ribosomal RNA". It matches the Rfam family "Bacterial small subunit ribosomal RNA", at positions 94 to 356 of the family's 1533-position model. Lineage: Bacteria; Fusobacteriati; Fusobacteriota; Fusobacteriia; Fusobacteriales; Leptotrichiaceae. The record is from RNAcentral.
CGUGGCGGACGGGUGAGUAACGCGUAAAGAACUUGCCCUUUAGACUGGGAUAACAGAGGGAAACUUCUGAUAAUACUGGAUAAGUUAGUAUAUCGCAUGAUAUGCAAAUGAAAGCUACGGCACUAAAGGAGAGCUUUGCGUCCUAUUAGCUAGUUGGUAAGGUAAGAGCUUACCAAGGCGAUGAUAGGUAGCCGGCCUGAGAGGGUGGACGGCCACAAGGGGACUGAGAUACGGCCCUUACUCCUACGGGAGGCAGCAGCG